Rosa rugosa (rugosa rose) is the source of this 2419-nucleotide long non-coding RNA. RefSeq lists it as uncharacterized. Lineage: Eukaryota; Viridiplantae; Streptophyta; Magnoliopsida; Rosales; Rosaceae. The record is from RefSeq and is a predicted model, not a curated record. The transcript is spliced from 4 exons.
UAAAGUUUGAAAAUGCAUGAUGUUUUUUUUGAAAGGAACUAAAUGAAUUCAUUUAAAUCCUAUGGAGAUUACAUGGUGCAAUCAGAGCCGUUGAUUUGAGUCACCGAUUGAUCUGGGCCGUGUAUCAUUAAUAAAUAUCGAGACGAUGUAGAAGAAGCCAGACUGGUCGACCCGGUUCCUCGACCCCGAAACCCAUAACGGUGAUCCGAUUCCUCCUUUCGAUUCCGGCGACCUCUGUUCGGAAGACCGGUGACGUUGGAAUGGUCUCGGAGGUGCGAAGGAAGCGGGGCUUUGUUCCCUUUGGUUCAAACGAGCGAGCUGUGACGGCGGCCUGAGGCUCGAAAGUUUCCACUGCAUGGCGGUUUCCAGUCAGAUUUUCCGACUUCGACGACGACUGCUGGCGGUAGCUGCGUCUCGGUGAGGUGAAAGAUUAUAACUUGGAAGCUUGGGAGAUGCCGGCGGGUUUGGAGAGAGAAUUAAAACUUGGAAGCUUCGGAGCUGCCGGCGGGUUUUCUGCAAUUUCCAGCGAAUUUGAUCCCGAUCGGCGAUGACCGAGGUAAGAGGUUUGAUUUACUCUUCGAGUUUCGGUUAAGUGUUGGAGGAAUUGGGUAUUUUGCGUCCGUUGGCCAUCAGUGAGUACAUGUUGAGGCACCGAGUCAAGCCCUCCGAUCCAUUCCCAAAACGCAUAUCAGGAUCAGCCACCUGCAUUAUAUAUCUCAACAAAUUAAAUUCCACCAACCAAAAUUGCUCAAGAUCAAUGACUUUGCAUGUUCCAAUAAUCAAAAAUCUUGGCACCAUUAUCAUGUUGGGCUCUUCAGGUUUGGUUGUCAGAAAAAUCUGGGUUGGUACGCUAGCUGUAGGUUUGGUUGUUCCGCUGACCUGCUCUCAGCCAAAGCAUCGUUCCCGUUGAAGAUCGAAGCUUUUUCAGGCAGUCACGUAAGUUUUUACUUGAACAGCUUCCUAAUUCUCUUCAAAUUACUUUGCUUUGUUUAAUUUUGCUACACCUAUGGAUAUAUAUGCUAUCUCUGCAAUUUCUUCUUUCGCAUGAACUUCUGGAUAGAGCUGAAUUUGUCUGUGUUAAACUUUGAGCCCGAGAAUUCUUUUGUUUUCCUUUUGGUUAUUUUUUAUACUUGUUUUACUUGAGGAAUUUCCUGAGGCGGUAAUUAGGCAACAUAAGUAACCAAUUACAAAGCUGUAUAGAGCUAAAGGGCGUCAUUUAUUUCAAUACUUUGUCUAUGAAGAUCAAAGUUAUUUACUUUAAAGAGAUUGGAAUGCAACCAAUGAUAUAUAGCUUUGCCCAUAUAAAGUUUGGUCCGUGUUUAAAGUGUUGAAUUAGUUUACUAGUGGUAUAAUGUUCCGAUGAUGACCAAGGCAAAGAGGGUGGUUUUCCCCAAAUUCCAGUGCUUCUAUUAGCGUUCGAGGAUAUGUGAUCCUUUUGUGGAGUAGGAUUUGACUUUGGUUCUAAGUAUGUAUAGAAUUAGUUGAUGUACGUUUGACUGGUAAACUUAUCUCGCUUACAGUAGAAGUUUACAUUGAUGAGUGACUAGUUUGUAGAUGUAAGUUGAAACUUGCAAGAUCAGUUAUUCAGUUUAGAUGAUUAAGCUGGUAGUGUAUAUUCACAGAAAUAGGAUCAAGCAAAAAUUCACUUCUUUGAUGUUUAGAUUAGUGUUUAGGUUUGAGUUCUUUGUGGGGACAACUUGAGAUUGAUAUUAAUGGUCUAUGACCGUUUGUUUCUUAUUUGAAGAAGAAGAAGAUACAGCUUCAUAAUGUCUUUUAGUGAGUAAAAUUAGGAUAUUGAUUCACUCGAACCUUUGACAAAUUCCUAAAUAACAAUUCACUCGAACUAUGUUCCUUCCAUUUCUUAAUUAUUUUUCUUAUUUAUUAUAUGUGGCUGUUAAGCUUCUGGAAUUUUACUCUAAUUGAAAAUUUGUUGGUCUGUGCAAUUGGGGAACAAGCUUAUGUAUAUGCCAAAUGAUCGUACUUCUACCACAAAGUUGGAUAUAUAUGGAGUUUCAGUGAUAUUGCAGGUCCUUGAUCCCUACUCGUUAGUGAUGAAGUUCAUAUAUAUGUACAUGGAAUUUAUCAUUAGUGGUCUUUCAUGUGGAUCCAUAUAUGAAUGACUUAAAGGCAAGAUGAAGGAUGAGAGCAGAAAUGACAGGAAUCCUGGAAAUGGUAACACUCUUCUAGUGCAGGUAAUUGUUCCCUAUCAUGUUUCUUGAAACUGUCUCAAAGGUAGUAGAUGAAGAUAUUGGAGAUGAUGAAACCAAGUUUUUGUGCCUCUACUGCCAUCUAAGAUCACAUAGGAUAUCAACCUGUAAUUAGGAUUUAUUUAGUUUGUUUUAAUUGUAGUUUAGUUCAACUGUUAUGAGUAACAGAUCAGUAAAUGUCCUCUUUUCUUUUCAAGGACACUUUUUGUUCA